GUGAGUAACACGUGGGUAACCUACCUUUUACACCGGGAUAGCUCAGGGAAACUUGAAUUAAUACCGGAUACUCCUUAGAGACCGCAUGGUCACUUCGGGAAAACUCAGGUGGUAAAAGAUGGACCCGCGGCCCAUUAGCUAGUUGGUGAGGUAAAGGCUCACCAAGGCAGUGAUGGGUAGCCGAGCUGAGAGGCUGGUCCCCCACACGGGCACUGAGAUACGGGCCCGACUCCUACGGGAGGCAGCAGUAGGGAAUAUUGGGCAAUGGGCGAGAGCCUGACCCAGCCAUGCCGCGUGCAGGAAGAAGGCUUUCUGAGUCGUAAACUGCUUUUGACAGGGAAGAAUAAGGCUUACGUGUAAGCUGAUGACGGUACCUGCAGAAUAAGCACCGGCUAACUCCGUGCCAGCAGCCGCGGUAAUACGGAGGGUGCGAGCGUUAUCCGGAAUCAUUGGGUUUAAAGGGUCCGUAGGCGGUUUAGUAAGUCAGUGGUGAAAUCCCAUCGCUCAACGGUGGAACGGCCAUUGAUACUGCUAGACUUGAAUUAUUAGGAAGUAACUAGAAUAUGUAGUGUAGCGGUGAAAUGCUUAGAGAUUACAUGGAAUACCAAUUGCGAAGGCAGGUUACUACUAAUAUAUUGACGCUGAUGGACGAAAGCGUGGGUAGCGAACAGGAUUAGAUACCCUGGUAGUCCACGCCGUAAACGAUGGAUACUAGCUGUUGGGAGCAAUCUCAGUGGCUAAGCGAAAGUGAUAAGUAUCCCACCUGGGGAGUACGUUCGCAAGAAUGAAACUCAAAGGAAUUGACGGGGGCCCGCACAAGCGGUGGAGCAUGGUGGUUUAAUUCGAUGAUACGCGAGGAACCUUACCAAGGCUUAAAUGUAGUUUGACCGGUUUGGGAAACAGAUCUUUCGCAAGACAAAUUACAAGGUGCUGCAUGGUUGUCGUCAGCUCGUGCCGUGAGGUGUCAGGUUAAGUCCUAUAACGAGCGCAACCCCUGUUGUUAGUUGCCAGCGAGUCAUGUCGGGAACUCUAACAAGACUGCCAGUGCAAACUGUGAGGAAGGUGGGGAUGACGUCAAAUCAUCACGGCCCUUACGCCUUGGGCUACACACGUGCUACAAUGGCCGGUACAGAGAGCAGCCACUGGGUGACCAGGAGCGAAUCUAUAAAACCGGUCACAGUUCGGAUCGGAGUCUGCAACUCGACUCCGUGAAGCUGGAAUCGCUAGUAAUCGGAUAUCAGC
RNAcentral lists this ribosomal RNA (1242 nucleotides) under uncultured bacterium. RNAcentral's name for it is "partial 16S ribosomal RNA". It matches the Rfam family "Bacterial small subunit ribosomal RNA", at positions 106 to 1353 of the family's 1533-position model. The record is from RNAcentral.